This 446-nucleotide ribosomal RNA is filed under the name Brachypodium pinnatum. RNAcentral describes it as "eukaryotic LSU rRNA". The stretch from base 306 to 446 matches the Rfam family "Eukaryotic large subunit ribosomal RNA", at positions 1 to 141 of the family's 3401-position model. The record is from RNAcentral. Lineage: Eukaryota; Viridiplantae; Streptophyta; Magnoliopsida; Poales; Poaceae.
UGCAGAAUCCCGCGAACCAUCGAGUCUUUGAACGCAAGUUGCGCCCGAGGCCACCCGGUCGAGGGCACGCCUGCCUGGGCGUCACGCCAAAACACGCUCCCACCCCCCCUCGUGGGGAGCAGGACGCGGCUUAUGGCUCCCCGUGCCUUUGGGCGCGGUUGGCCGAAGAUCGGGCUGCCGGCGUAUCGUGCCGGGCACAGCGCGUGGUGGGCGAUCUCGCUUUACUCAGCGCAGCGCUGCGGGUGCGUAGCCGGUGUAAUGGCCUCCAAGGACCCCCAAAAACGGAGUGCGCGUCGCUCCGACCGCGACCCCAGGUCAGGCGGGACUACCCGCUGAGUUUAAGCAUAUAAAUAAGCGGAGGAGAAGAAACUUACAAGGAUUCCCCUAGUAACGGCGAGCGAACCGGGAGCAGCCCAGCUUGAGAAUCGGGCGGCCGUGCCGUCCGA